AGGUUACGUCAAGACUCACGGUUAUUAACCGUAGGCUUUUCUUCUCUACUGAAAGUGCUUUACAACCCGCAGGCCUUCUUCACACACGCGGCAUUGCUGGAUCAGGCUUGCGCCCAUUGUCCAAUAUUCCCCA
This 133-nucleotide ribosomal RNA is filed under the name uncultured bacterium. RNAcentral describes it as "partial 16S ribosomal RNA". The record is from RNAcentral.